This is an RNA transcript of Teleopsis dalmanni, 955 nucleotides long. RefSeq lists it as uncharacterized. NCBI's taxonomy places the organism in Eukaryota, Metazoa, Arthropoda, Insecta, Diptera, Diopsidae. The record is from RefSeq and is a predicted model, not a curated record. The transcript has 4 exons.
AACGAACUAUUUUGAAACAAGUCAGUCGUAUAACCAACUCAGUGAUAUUAAGUACAUUUAUUUUUUGAAACGGAAUAUGGAAACAGAAAAUCUCGUCUAUAAUACCGACGAACUGGAAGCACCGCAAUGGUUGAAUGCAGAUUUUUUAGCAAAAGUGCUUAAGGAAUAUGAAGGGGACAGUGCAAUUACCAUUAAAAACUACAAAAUCACACCAGCAACAGUACGAGGUGAUCAUUAUGCCAGUGUCAUGUUCAGGGCAGAAGUUGACUAUGUACAGACCGGACGGUCAACAACCAAGUCAAUGAUUAUUAAAACAAUGCCAGAAGAGGAUGGCAGUAAAAAGGAGUUAUUGCAAGAAACUCAUAUAUUUGAAACAGAGAUCGGAGUAUAUAGUGAAGUGAUACCAAGGAUGGAAAAAAUCUUACGUGCAGUUGGUGAUAAUACAGUGUUGGGAGCAAAAUACCUGUAUUAUAGUUUGAGUCCAAGAAAGGUUAUUGUUUUUGAGGAUCUCGUGACUGUUGGCUACAAUGUUCUGCGUCAACGUUUGCCCACUAUGGAGGAAGCUAAAAUGACGUAUCUGAAAUUAGCCAAAUGGCACGCCGUGAGCUAUAAGUUGUUGCAGGAGUGACUUUCUUGUUGAAUGACAUGUUUUCAUCACAAAUCAAUUCAAAAGUCACAAGAAUUUCUCGUAUUUGCACAUAGGGAAUGUGAGAUGAAAUUAAUAUUCUUACUGACUGAGAACAGAUAACGUUAGAUACAUUUGUUAGUACUUUAGCUACAAUGCCUGUACUAAAAAUUAUCUUUAAAAAUGUUUACAACCUCAAUUAUACAUACGUAAUAUGCACUUCGUUUCAAAACUUCUGAUAUUUUGCCUAUUCGUUGCAUAAAGUUGCGAAAUUACUAAUCAAAUCAACGAUUUCAAGUUUUCUUACGAGCCGCAGAUAAGAUAAUUAAA